GCCCCCUCCCAGGCUGUCAUCAAUUGGACAGCGCACUCCAUAUGCUCUCAGGCUGCCAGAACCAUAUCAUCUCCAACAUGAAAACUGAAAGCCAUAACAUUGCAGGCAGAAUGAUUACAAAAGCACUCAGCAAAGGCCCCGUGGGAGCAGGCCUGGUCUACACAGACAUAGGAAGCAAUUUUAAGCUUGCACAACACAACCUCCAACUCCC
RNAcentral lists this long non-coding RNA (211 nucleotides) under Dunaliella salina. RNAcentral's name for it is "long non-coding RNA (DSAL_LNC000488)". Lineage: Eukaryota; Viridiplantae; Chlorophyta; Chlorophyceae; Chlamydomonadales; Dunaliellaceae. The record is from RNAcentral.